GACGAACGCUGGCGGCGCGCCUAACACAUGCAAGUCGAACGGAGCUUAGAGAGCUUGCUUUUUAAGCUUAGUGGCGAACGGGUGAGUAACGCGUGAGUAACCUGCCCUAGAGUGGGGGACAACAGUUGGAAACGACUGCUAAUACCGCAUAAGCCCACGGUACCGCAUGGUACUGAGGGAAAAGGAUUUAUUCGCUUUAGGAUGGACUCGCGUCCAAUUAGCUAGUUGGUGAGGUAACGGCCCACCAAGGCGACGAUUGGUAGCCGGACUGAGAGGUUGAACGGCCACAUUGGGACUGAGACACGGCCCAGACUCCUACGGGAGGCAGCAGUGGGAGAUAUUGCACAAUGGGGGAAACCCUGAUGCAGCGACGCCGCGUGGAGGAAGAAGGUUUUCGGAUUGUAAACUCCUGUCGUUAGGGACGAUAAUGACGGUACCUAACAAGAAAGCACCGGCUAACUACGUGCCAGCAGCCGCGGUAAAACGUAGGGUGCAAGCGUUGUCCGGAAUUACUGGGUGUAAAGGGAGCGCAGGCGGGAAGACAAGUUGGAAGUGAAAACCAUGGGCUCAACCCAUGAAUUGCUUUCAAAACUGUUUUUUCUUGAGUAGUGCAGAGGUAGAUGGAAUUCCCGGUGUAGCGGUGGAAUGCGUAGAUAUCGGGAGGAACACCAGUGGCGAAGGCGGUCUACUGGGCACCAACUGACGCUGAGGCUCGAAAGCAUGGGUAGCAAACAGGAUUAGAUACCCUGGUAGUCCAUGCCGUAAACGAAAGAUUAUUAGGGGGUUGGGGGGAGGCCCCCCCCCGUCCCGCAGUUAACACCACUAAAUAAUCCCCCCGGGGAGGUGGGACCGCAAGGUUGGAAACUCAAAGGAAUUGACGGGGGCCCGCCCAAGCAGUGGAGUAAUGUGGUUUAAUUGGAAGCAACGCGAAGAACCUUUCCAGGUCUUGACAUCCGAUGCAUAACACAGAGAUGUGUGAAAUCCUUCGGGACAUCGAGACAGGUGGUGCAUGGUUGUCGUCAGCUCGUGUCGUGAGAUGUUGGGUUAAGUCCCGCAACGAGCGCAACCCUUAUUGCCAGUUACUACGUUAAGAGGACUCUGGCGAGACUGCCGUUGACAAAACGGAGGAAGGUGGGGAUGACGUCAAAUCAUCAUGCCCUUUAUGACCUGGGCUACACACGUACUACAAUGGCGUUAAACAAAGAGAAGCAAGACCGCGAGGUGGAGCAAAACUCAAAAACAACGUCUCAGUUCAGAUUGCAGGCUGCAACUCGCCUGCAUGAAGUCGGAAUUGCUAGUAAUCGCGGAUCAGCAUGCCGCGGUGAAUACGUUCCCGGGCCUUGUCU
Molecule: ribosomal RNA, 1346 nt
Filed under: uncultured bacterium
Lineage: Bacteria
Description: bacterial SSU rRNA
Rfam family: Bacterial small subunit ribosomal RNA
Source: RNAcentral